GGUAAAUCCUCCCCUGGGCUGGGGAGGCUCACAGCUCUCUCCUCACACAGGGCUGAGGUCUCUGGGGAAGGCAGAGCCCUGGUCUAGAAGAAGAUGAGACUGCUGGGUCUUCUCCUGUGCCUGGUGACAGCCCCCCAAGGUGUCCUGUCCCAGCUGCAGCUGCAGGAUUCAGGUCCAAAAUUGGUGAAGCCCUCACAGACCCUCUCCCUCACCUGCACUGUCUCUGGAUUCUCCAUCACCAGUGGUUCCUGCUGGGAUUGGAUCCGCCAGAAACCAGGGAAGGGGCUGGAGUGGAUCGGGUGGAUAUGUCAUAAUGGAAACACUUACUACAGCCCGUCCCUCAGCAGCCGCAUCUCUAUCUCUAGAGACACAGCCAAGAACCAUUUCUCCAUGCAGCUGAGCUCUGUGACCAACGAGGACACAGCCCUGUACUACUGUGCGAGAGACACACUGCUGACCCUGGACCAUGGACUCAGCACAUCCUGGGGUCUGUGUGAUUCAGCAAAACAGACCUAG
This is a non-coding RNA of Molossus molossus (Pallas's mastiff bat), 516 nucleotides long. The record is from the annotation of a RefSeq genome assembly. NCBI's taxonomy places the organism in Eukaryota, Metazoa, Chordata, Mammalia, Chiroptera, Molossidae.